This 484-nucleotide ribosomal RNA is filed under the name uncultured bacterium. Its description in RNAcentral is "partial 16S ribosomal RNA". It matches the Rfam family "Bacterial small subunit ribosomal RNA", at positions 30 to 507 of the family's 1533-position model. The record is from RNAcentral.
AUUGAACGCUGGCGGCAGGCCUAACACAUGCAAGUCGAGCGGAUGAAGGGAGCUUGCUCCUGGAUUCAGCGGCGGACGGGUGAGUAAUGCCUAGGAAUCUGCCUGGUAGUGGGGGAUAACGUCCGGAAACGGGCGCUAAUACCGCAUACGUCCUGAGGGAGAAAGUGGGGGAUCUUCGGACCUCACGCUAUCAGAUGAGCCUAGGUCGGAUUAGCUAGUUGGUGGGGUAACGGCCUACCCAGGCGACGAUCCGUAACUGGUCUGAGAGGAUGAUCAGACACACUGGCACUGAGACACGGUCCAGACUCCUACGGGAGGCCGCAGUCGGGAAUAUUGGGCGAUGCGCGAGAGCGUAAUCCAGCCCUGCCGCGUGUGUGAAGAAGGUCUUCGGAUUGUAAAGCACUUCAAGUUGGGAGGAAGGGCAGUAAGUUAAUCCCUUGCUGUUUUGACGUUACCAACAGAAUAAGCACCGGCUAACUUCGUG